AUGAAGUCGGAAUUGCUAGUAAUCGCGGAUCAGCAUGCCGCGGUGAAUACGUUCCCGGGCCCUUGUACACACCGCCCGUCACACCAUGGGAGCCGGUAAUACCCGAAGUCAGUAGUCCAACCUCGUGAGGACGCUGCCGAAGGUAGGAUUGGCGACUGGGGUGAAGUCGUAACAAGGUAGC
This 181-nucleotide ribosomal RNA is filed under the name uncultured bacterium. RNAcentral describes it as "partial 16S ribosomal RNA". It matches the Rfam family "Bacterial small subunit ribosomal RNA", at positions 1320 to 1500 of the family's 1533-position model. The record is from RNAcentral.